UACAGAGGUCUCAAGCGUUUGUUCGGAUUCAUUGGGCGUAAAGGGUGCGUAGGUGGCGCCGUAAGUCAGGUGUGAAAUCUCGGAGCUCAACUCCGAAACUGCACUUGAUACUGCGGUGCUCGAGUACUGGAGAGGAGAUUGGAAUUUACGGUGUAGCAGUGAAAUGCGUAGAUAUCGUAAGGAAGACCAGUGGCGAAGGCGAAUCUCUGGGACA
This 214-nucleotide ribosomal RNA is filed under the name uncultured bacterium. RNAcentral describes it as "partial 16S ribosomal RNA". It matches the Rfam family "Bacterial small subunit ribosomal RNA", at positions 524 to 735 of the family's 1533-position model. The record is from RNAcentral.